GUGGGUUUAGUUUAACAAAAACAUAUUAUUUUCGUUAAUAAAAUAAAGAAAACUUUCUUUUACUCAUUAAAACA
RNAcentral lists this transfer RNA (74 nucleotides) under Podura aquatica (water springtail). RNAcentral describes it as "tRNA-Glu". The record is from RNAcentral. Lineage: Eukaryota; Metazoa; Arthropoda; Collembola; Poduromorpha; Poduridae.